AGAUCAGCCCUGGGGUUCAGAGGGAUCCUGACGGCUACUCCUCAAGAUCCUCUCUGUUGUGAUUCAUCCCCCCCAGGCCCUACAGUUUCUCCUUCCUGACUCUUACAUUUCUUUGGAUGGCAUCACUAUUCCUGUGGCUGACUGACAGCUCAACUUGGAGAAGGUGUUACCUGGGCCAGGUGGGGAAGGUAGGGUUGUUUGCAGAGCAAAGAAGUGAAGCAGAACCAACCCCUCCUCUUCUUCCUCCCCCUCAGCCUAUUCAAUGUGAAAAAGAUGAGGGCGAAGACCUUUAUGAUGAUCCAAGUAAUGAACACACUGGAGAAAGUCAAACAGUCAAAACAAUGUCCCAGACUCCGUGAAGUUCCUGGGUAGAGAAGUAGACAGACGUACACCAUACCUAAUAAUUGGAGGUCCAAGAGAAUGAGAGAAUGGCAGAAAGAACUUUAGAGCAUGGGUAUGAUGGCUAGAGCUUGAGCAGCCAUUGUGGACAUCAGAUGAACCUGAAAGUGAAAACUAUGAGCUGAAUAUGACAAAGCAAAUAGAAAACUGGAUUCAUGAUGACACUGCAAAGCUGCCAGACCAGCUCUAGUCUGCUUCUCCCUAAUCUUCCUUACUAAGAGAGAGAAAUAAACUUCCAUCUUCUUCAA
Molecule: non-coding RNA, 647 nt
Filed under: Pongo abelii (Sumatran orangutan)
Lineage: Eukaryota; Metazoa; Chordata; Mammalia; Primates; Hominidae
Source: RNAcentral